Molecule: unclassified non-coding RNA, 324 nt
Filed under: uncultured fungus
Lineage: Eukaryota; Fungi
Description: partial contains small subunit ribosomal RNA, internal transcribed spacer 1, and 5.8S ribosomal RNA
Rfam family: Eukaryotic small subunit ribosomal RNA (bases 1-73)
Source: RNAcentral
GCAAACUUGGUCAUUUAGAGGAAGUAAAAGUCGUAACAAGGUUUCCGUAGGUGAACCUGCGGAAGGAUCAUUAUCGAGUUUUGAAACGGGUUGUAGCUGACCUCAAUUGGGGUAUGUGCACGCCUGGCUCAUUCCACUCUCAAACCCCUGUGCACUUAUUGUAGGCUUGGUGGGAUAGGCUGACUUUCACUAGUCGGUCUUGAAAGCUUCGCCUAUGUUUUAAUACAAACGCUUCAGUUUAGAAUGUAAUCAUUGCUAACAAGCAAAUUAAAUACAACUUUCAGCAACGGAUCUCUUGGCUCUCGCAUCGAUGAAGAACGCAGC